GCCAGCUUCUUAGAGGGACUAUGGCCAUUUAAGCCACGAAAGUUUGAGGCAAUAACAGGUCUAUGAUUCCCUUAGAUGUUCUGGGCCGCACGCGCGCUACACUGACAGAGCCAGCGAGUUCUCACCUUGGCCGGAAGGUCUG
This 142-nucleotide ribosomal RNA is filed under the name Hyaloriaceae sp. RNAcentral describes it as "partial small subunit ribosomal RNA". It matches the Rfam family "Eukaryotic small subunit ribosomal RNA", at positions 1402 to 1544 of the family's 1831-position model. Lineage: Eukaryota; Fungi; Basidiomycota; Agaricomycetes; Auriculariales; Hyaloriaceae. The record is from RNAcentral.